RNAcentral lists this transfer RNA (73 nucleotides) under Phytoactinopolyspora halophila. It matches the Rfam family "tRNA". From Rfam's summary of the family: Transfer RNA (tRNA) molecules are approximately 80 nucleotides in length. RNAcentral also lists the same sequence under 1 other name. The record is from Rfam by way of RNAcentral. Lineage: Bacteria; Bacillati; Actinomycetota; Actinomycetes; Jiangellales; Jiangellaceae.
UGACCACUAGCUCAAAUGGCAGAGCAGUUGAUUGUUAAUCAAUGAGUUCCAGGUUCGACUCCUGGGUGGUCAG